AUUGAACGCUAGCGGCAGGCCUAAUACAUGCAAGUCGGACGGGAUUGGGGAGCUUGCUCCCCAUGAGAGUGGCGCACGGGUGCGUAACACGUAUGUAACCUACCCUUGUCAGGGGGAUAGCCUCUCGAAAGAGAGAUUAACACCGCAUAACAUUAUUGGAUGGCAUCAUUUAAUAAUCAAAUAUUUAUAGGACAAGGAUGGGCAUGCGGGACAUUAGCUAGUUGGUAGGGUAACGGCUUACCAAGGCUACGAUGUCUAGGGGAUCUGAGAGGAUGGCCCCCCACACUGGUCCUGAGACACAGACCAGAGUCCUACGGGAGGCAGCAGUAAGGAAUAUUGGUCAAUGGGCGCAAGCCUGAACCAGCCAUGCCGCGUGCAGGAAGACGGCCCUACGGGUUGUAAACUGCUUUUGCGCCGGAAUAAACCCUUUUACGAGUAAGAGGCUGAAUGUACGGCGAGAAUAAGGAUCGGCUAACUCCGUGCCAGCCGCCGCGGUAA
RNAcentral lists this ribosomal RNA (498 nucleotides) under uncultured bacterium. Its description in RNAcentral is "partial 16S ribosomal RNA". It matches the Rfam family "Bacterial small subunit ribosomal RNA", at positions 30 to 523 of the family's 1533-position model. The record is from RNAcentral.